AUUGAACGCUGGCGGCAGGCCUAACACAUGCAAGUCGAGCGGUAGCACAGAGAGCUUGCUCUCGGGUGACGAGCGGCGGACGGGUGAGUAAUGUCUGGGAAACUGCCUGAUGGAGGGGGCUAACUACUGGAAACGGUAGCUAAUACCGCAUAACGUCGCAAGACCAACGUGGGGGACCUUCGGGCCACAUGGCAUCAGAUGUGCCCAGAUGGGAUUAGCUGGUAGGUGGGGUAACGGCUCACCUAGGCGACGAUCCGUAGCUGGUCUGAGAGGAUGACCAGCCACACUGGAACUGAGACACGGUCCAGACUCCUACGGGAGGCAGCAGUGGGGAAUAUUGCACAAUGGGCGCAAGCCUGAUGCAGCCAUGCCGCGUGUGUGAAGAAGGCCUUCGGGUUGUAAAGCACUUUCAGCGGGGAGGAAGGCAUUAAGGUUAAUAACCUUAGUGAUUGACGUUACCCGCAGAAGAAGCACCGGCUAACUCCGUGCCAGCAGCCGCAGUAA
RNAcentral lists this ribosomal RNA (504 nucleotides) under uncultured bacterium. Its description in RNAcentral is "partial 16S ribosomal RNA". It matches the Rfam family "Bacterial small subunit ribosomal RNA", at positions 30 to 523 of the family's 1533-position model. The record is from RNAcentral.